AUGGAAAGAUUCAGGUGAAGAUAAUUACUGCGGGUUAUGUUGAUGAUAAAGACGAUGUUCAUCUACUGUCUGCAGAGGAUACCAGUGCAUUUAAAAAUAUGAUUGUCUCCAUUCUGGGCGGGGACCAUGAGGCAGCAGAGGAAGAGGUUCGACAAUCAAACAUGGAGUCAAACUACAACAAAGUCUGGGGUAAAAAUAGGAGGAAAUCCCCCGAGGUGGUUCCAUAAGUAGCCUACAGAAUCGCACCACUCAGUGUCUUUCAUAAUUUUUUUUGUUUUAUUUUCUUGGUUGGUUAUUGGAUACAUUUUGUCUAUGGACAGGUUAAAAUUUAUUUAUUUUGAUGAUGAAAAUCAAAGUAAUUUUUUUUUGCCUGUGUGUAAAUGGAUAUGCAAGUGUAUUUGUGUGUACAGUGUAUAUGUAUAUGUUUUUUUGGU
This is a long non-coding RNA of Saccostrea cuccullata (small rock oyster), 434 nucleotides long. RefSeq lists it as uncharacterized. Lineage: Eukaryota; Metazoa; Mollusca; Bivalvia; Ostreida; Ostreidae. The transcript is spliced from 2 exons. The record is from RefSeq and is a predicted model, not a curated record.